This 328-nucleotide ribosomal RNA is filed under the name uncultured eukaryote. RNAcentral describes it as "partial 18S ribosomal RNA". It matches the Rfam family "Eukaryotic small subunit ribosomal RNA", at positions 1470 to 1796 of the family's 1831-position model. The record is from RNAcentral.
CCCUUAGAUGUUCUGGGCCGCACGCGUGCUACACUGACCGGCGCAACAAGUUUCUUUCCUUGGCUCGAUAGGCCUGGGUAAUCUUUGAACGCCGGUCGUGAUGGGGAUAGAUCCUUGCAAUUUUGAUCUUCAACGAGGAAUUCCUAGUAAAUGCGAGUCAUCAUCUCGCGUUGAUUACGUCCCUGCCCUUUGUACACACCGCCCGUCGCACCUACCGAUUGAAUGGUCCGGUGAAGCGUUCGGACCGUGGCCUUUGGACGGUUCGCCGUCUGUUGGCUGCGGGAAGUUCGUUAAACCUUAUCAUUUAGAGGAAGGAGAAGUCGUAACA